CAUGAAGUCGGAAUUGCUAGUAAUCGCAGAUCAGCAUGCUGCGGUGAAUACGUUCCCGGGCCUUGUACACACCGCCCGUCACACCAUGGGAGUCGGUAACACCCGAAGCCUGUAGUCUAACCGCAAGGAGGACGCAGUCGAAGGUGGGAUUGAUGACUGGGGUGAAGUCGUAACAAGGUAGC
Molecule: ribosomal RNA, 182 nt
Filed under: uncultured bacterium
Lineage: Bacteria
Description: partial 16S ribosomal RNA
Rfam family: Bacterial small subunit ribosomal RNA
Source: RNAcentral